This 585-nucleotide long non-coding RNA is filed under the name Manacus vitellinus (golden-collared manakin). RNAcentral's name for it is "lncRNA (ENSMVIG00005005245.1)". The record is from RNAcentral. Lineage: Eukaryota; Metazoa; Chordata; Aves; Passeriformes; Pipridae.
CAGGCAGUGCACCGACUUCUGACGUGCAGUCCAACGUGAUGGGGACCCUGCCUGUAAGAGGUCACGGUCAAGGGGUGUCAGACAGAAACUGCCAUGGGGGCAGCAAACUCUUGGGCAGUAUCUCAGUACUCACAUUUGCCUCUGGGUUUUUUUUGCAGGAGAUGUAGACAGCCUGACAUGGCCGAAGGCAACUCACAGUGAGGUGACAGACACUGUUUGGUCCUCUGGAGCUCUCCUUGUAGGUAAUCUCCGAGUAUUGAAAAGAUCAGCAGCGAAGGAUUGAGUUUUUUUGAUUGCAGGUACCAUCCUUGUAACCUUUGGGAGCAGAUGAGCAUUGGAGGUAUCCCAGAAGAUGACAGCACAUUGUCCAAGUCUGGUCAUAGGCUGACACGAGGACCUGCCUGGGUGACAUUGACUGCCAGUAGUCUGACGAUGGCAGGAAUCUCUGAGCCAGCCCAGGUGCCCCUCCUGUGCAUCAAAGAUGGAUUGGCAUCCCCAGCUCUCGGAAAGAUAAGUGCAGGGCAAAGCCCCAGAGAGGGGCUGGGAGUGGGUGCAAGUCUGUGCCUCGCCUGGAGGGAUUUUUGA